RNAcentral lists this ribosomal RNA (539 nucleotides) under Cladosporium sphaerospermum. RNAcentral describes it as "eukaryotic LSU rRNA". It matches the Rfam family "Eukaryotic large subunit ribosomal RNA", at positions 1 to 544 of the family's 3401-position model. The record is from RNAcentral. Lineage: Eukaryota; Fungi; Ascomycota; Dothideomycetes; Cladosporiales; Cladosporiaceae.
UUGACCUCGGAUCAGGUAGGGAUACCCGCUGAACUUAAGCAUAUCAAUAAGCGGAGGAAAAGAAACCAACAGGGAUUGCUCUAGUAACGGCGAGUGAAGCAGCAAUAGCUCAAAUUUGAAAUCUGGCGUCUUCGGCGUCCGAGUUGUAAUUUGUAGAGGAUGCUUCUGGGCAGCCACCGACCUAAGUUCCUUGGAACAGGACGUCAUAGAGGGUGAGAAUCCCGUAUGCGGUCGGAAAGGCACCCUACACGUAGCUCCUUCGACGAGUCGAGUUGUUUGGGAAUGCAGCUCUAAAUGGGAGGUAAAUUUCUUCUAAAGCUAAACAUUGGCCAGAGACCGAUAGCGCACAAGUAGAGUGAUCGAAAGAUGAAAAGCACUUUGGAAAGAGAGUUAAAAAGCACGUGAAAUUGUUGAAAGGGAAGGGAUUGCAACCAGACUUGCUCGCGGUGUUCCGCCGGUCUUCUGACCGGUCUACUCGCCGCGUUGCAGGCCAGCAUCGUCUGGUGCCGCUGGAUAAGACUUGAGGAAUGUAGCUCCCU